Molecule: ribosomal RNA, 289 nt
Filed under: Theileria annulata
Lineage: Eukaryota; Apicomplexa; Aconoidasida; Piroplasmida; Theileriidae
Description: partial 18S ribosomal RNA
Rfam family: Eukaryotic small subunit ribosomal RNA
Source: RNAcentral
CUGGUGCCAGCAGCCGCGGUAAUUCCAGCUCCAAUAGCGUAUAUUAAAAUUGUUGCAGUUAAAAAGCUCGUAGUUGAAUUUCUGCUGCAUUGCUUGUGUCCCUCUGGGGUCUGUGCAUGUGGCUUUUUUCGGACGGAGUUUCUUUGUCUGAAUGUUUACUUUGAGAAAAUUAGAGUGCUCAAAGCAGGCUUUCGCCUUGAAUAGUUUAGCAUGGAAUAAUAAAGUAGGACUUUGGUUCUAUUUUGUUGGUUUUAGGUACCAAAGUAAUGGUUAAUAGGAACAGUUGGGG